UACAGAGGCCCCAAGCGUUACUGAGAAUCACUGGGUUUAAAGGGUGCGUAGGUGGUCCGUUAAGUUCGUUGUGAAAGCCCUGGGCUCAACCCAGGAACUGCUUCGAAUACUGGCGGACUUGAGGCUAGUAGAGGUCACUGGAACUGACGGUGGAGCGGUGAAAUGCGUAGAGAUCGGGUGGAACACCAGCGGCGAAGGCGGCAUCCUGGCCCUGACCUGACGCUGAGGCGCGAUAGCGUGGGGAGCAAACGGG
RNAcentral lists this ribosomal RNA (253 nucleotides) under uncultured bacterium. RNAcentral describes it as "partial 16S ribosomal RNA". It matches the Rfam family "Bacterial small subunit ribosomal RNA", at positions 524 to 776 of the family's 1533-position model. The record is from RNAcentral.